GGGGAUAUAGCUCAGUUGGUAGAGUGCUUGCCUCAAAUGCACAAGGUCCUGGGUUCAAUCCCCAGUACCA
Molecule: transfer RNA, 70 nt
Filed under: Ictidomys tridecemlineatus (thirteen-lined ground squirrel)
Lineage: Eukaryota; Metazoa; Chordata; Mammalia; Rodentia; Sciuridae
Description: Spermophilus tridecemlineatus (thirteen-lined ground squirrel) tRNA
Rfam family: tRNA
About the family: Transfer RNA (tRNA) molecules are approximately 80 nucleotides in length.
Source: Rfam by way of RNAcentral